GACGAACGCUGGCGACGCGCUUAACACAUGCGAGUCGAACGGAAAGGCCUGCUUUCCCUUGUGGAUUGCGGGUACUCGAGUGGCGAACGGGUGAGUAACACGUGAGUGAUCUGCCCCCAACUUGGGUAUAAGCCUGGGAAACUGGGUCUAAUUCCCGAUAGGACUGCAGGGUGGUGCCUGUGGUGGAAAACGAUUUUCUAGUGGUUGGGGAUGAGCUCGCGGCCUAUCAGCUUGUUGGUGGGGUAAUGGCCUACCAAGGCGGCGACGGGUAGCCGGCCUGAGAGGGUGGACGGGCACAUUGGGACUGAGAUACGGCCCCGACUCCUACGGGAGGCAGCAGUGGGGAAUAUUGCACAAUGGGCGGAAGCCUGAUGCAGCGACGCCGCGUGGGGGAUGACGGCCUUCGGGUUGUAAACUCCUUUCGACCGCGAGGAAGCCACCUGGUUGGAAGGGUGGUGACGGUAGUGGUAGAAGAAGCACCGGCUAACUACGUG
This 494-nucleotide ribosomal RNA is filed under the name uncultured bacterium. RNAcentral describes it as "partial 16S ribosomal RNA". It matches the Rfam family "Bacterial small subunit ribosomal RNA", at positions 28 to 507 of the family's 1533-position model. The record is from RNAcentral.